This 1579-nucleotide long non-coding RNA is filed under the name Brassica rapa (field mustard). RNAcentral's name for it is "long non-coding RNA (BRAP_LNC001651)". Lineage: Eukaryota; Viridiplantae; Streptophyta; Magnoliopsida; Brassicales; Brassicaceae. The record is from RNAcentral.
GAAAAAUCGUUUAAUUAGGCAGGAGCGCUCCUCUAUUAAGUGUCUGAAGGAAUGCUUAAGGACCCUUACGUGGCGAGUUUUAAUUUGAUGGCUCAUGUCUCUCUCUCUCUCUUUCCUCGAUUCUUUUCUUCGAUCUCUGUUGAAUCUUCGAUCUCUCCAUCUUCUCCGUCAAUUCUUCUGUCUCUCCAUCUUCUCCGUUGAUUCUCUGUCGUUUUUGAUAUCAAUCUUUCUCUCUGUCGAUUCAAUGAUGAUUUUCUUGAUGAUCUUGAGGAAGUGAACUCGUCUUGGAUUCCUGAGAAUAUGUGAGCUGGGUUUUGUUGAAUUAAGCUCUUGUGGAUGUGAUUUUGUGAAAACAUGGUUCUAGUGUAUUUUCUGAAUUGGGGGUUUUGGUUAUGUUUCUGGUUAAUCGAUAGCUUGAUCUGACCUAAGGAAAAAAAUUUCACCUUUGAGUAGCUGGUUCUUGACCUUUUUGAGAGAUUGAUUUGGUGCUUAGUUUUAAAGUCAUAGAAGCUUGAAUUGUUGGUUUUGCGGAAUUGAGUUCCUUCAGUUGAUCUAACCUGACAAGUAGUAGAAAAGGUUUCACCUUUGAGUAGCUGGGUUCAUGACUCUUUUGGUAGCUUGAUUUGGGUUGAAAGAUCGCUCAUUGGGUUGAUAAAGCAAACGAGCCCGAGUUCAAGAAACAGAAACUCGAACAGCUCCAGAGAAAAAAACUUAUCACUCUGUUCUUCUUGCUUUGGAAGCAGAGACCUCGGGAACAUCAUCACACGUAAUGCUUUCUCACUGUUCUUGUUCUUCUUCUCUUUUCCAUUUGAUUCAUGAGGUUAUAGUGUGCUCGUAUUCUUCUGGGAGGUUCUGUUAUAAUUCUCUCUACUCUCAUCUUCGUGUGUGUGUUAGAAACUAUUUGAUUCUAUGUUAAAUUCACACCAUUGGCAGGUUUCUAUUCUAGUACUCUCUGCUUGCAUCUUCUUGCGUAUAGAUAGAAACUGUUCUAUGAAACUCCACUAUUGAGAAGACAAUAGAAAGUACUACUAUAUGGUAUAUCAUAUGAACAUGACUGCAGACUUCUGAAGCACUUUACACAUUAAUCAUUGGGUUCAUGAGCUGUUUUUCUAGUUUUUGCAGUCAAGGAUUUCUGAUGUAAGCUAUGAAGAGCGGGAUGAUCCUGAUGGUGGAUUGAAACACAAAGGCUUAUCAGGUGACUCGUAGUGAGAUUCACUUUACAAUCUGUCUGCAGGUUUCUUCCUGCUCCAUUCGUUGAUACCAUCUGAUAAAACUUCUUUUUCUUUUUGAGAAAACCACGAGACUAUAGAGACGACUGCCUGAUCAAACUUCUUAUCAUAACUCUUUGUUCAUUCACACUUUUGAUCAAACUUCAUGUCAUGUAUGCUUUUCUUUCAUCUUAUAAUAAAAUCAUUCAACUUUCUAAAAAAAAAAAUUUUAAGAACCUCGAUGAGGUUCUCCCAUUGGAGGAGUAAAAUUUAAUUAGAUUAACAAGGGUUCUUAAGUUUUCAAAUCACAAAAUUAACUACUAAAUAAUUCAUCAGAACCCUACAUAGUUCCUUACCAAUGGAGAUGCUCU